Molecule: ribosomal RNA, 253 nt
Filed under: uncultured bacterium
Lineage: Bacteria
Description: partial 16S ribosomal RNA
Rfam family: Bacterial small subunit ribosomal RNA
Source: RNAcentral
UACGUAGGGGGCAAGCGUUGUCCGGAAUCAUUGGGCGUAAAGAGCGCGUAGGCGGUCCGGUAAGUCCGCUCUGAAAGUCCGGGGCUCAACCCCGGGAGGCGGGCGGAUACUGUCGGGCUAGAGUCCGGAAGAGGCGAGUGGAAUUCCUGGUGUAGCGGUGAAAUGCGCAGAUAUCAGGAGGAACACCAAUGGCGAAGGCAGCUCGCUGGGACGGUACUGACGCUGAGGCGCGAAAGCCAGGGGAGCGAACGGG